This 240-nucleotide ribosomal RNA is filed under the name Triticum aestivum (bread wheat). RNAcentral describes it as "partial small subunit ribosomal RNA". Lineage: Eukaryota; Viridiplantae; Streptophyta; Magnoliopsida; Poales; Poaceae. The record is from RNAcentral.
AUGCCGGGGAGCGCCAUCAGCGGAGGCGCGGCAAGGGCGGCCGCGGUCGCGUGGUGGCUGCAGCGCCACCAGCGACUGCCUCCGCCGGCGGACCUCCUGCCACGCAGCCUCCUUGACCGCGCGGUGGAGCUCGCCAGCAAGACCGCCGCCGCCGCCGCCCCGGAUCUGGACCAGGACCUGCCCUGCUCCCUCGGCUCGUCCUCCCUCCCUGACCUCUGCGACGGCUUGGUUGGUAAUUAG